GUGAGCUGGUGAGCAGCUGCCGGACACUUCUCAACCUUUCAAAAGGUUAGAGGCGUUUGAGGAAACUCCGUCCACCACACAGACCGCAACGUUGCAAAGCGUAAGGCGAGAGCCUUGGCUCCAGAACAGAAACGGAACGUCCGCUUAGCCUGUGACAAUGAGGCGUGCUAAGUCGCCAAGUAUGGCUAUGGGGAAACGAUGAAACGGCUGCCCUGCGGGGUGGAAGGGCAAACAAGCGUCGAUGAAUGCUUGUGCGAGACGCAGGUAGCCCGAGAAGUCGAAUGCUGCUUAAAACAGAAGACGGGUUACAGCCAGCACAC
Molecule: RNase P RNA, 320 nt
Filed under: Candidatus Bathyarchaeota archaeon
Lineage: Archaea; Thermoproteati; Candidatus Bathyarchaeota
Description: RNase P RNA component
Rfam family: Archaeal RNase P
About the family: Ribonuclease P (RNase P) is a ubiquitous endoribonuclease, found in archaea, bacteria and eukarya as well as chloroplasts and mitochondria. Its best characterised activity is the generation of mature 5'-ends of tRNAs by cleaving the 5'-leader elements of precursor-tRNAs. Cellular RNase Ps are ribonucleoproteins.
Source: RNAcentral